Molecule: ribosomal RNA, 491 nt
Filed under: uncultured bacterium
Lineage: Bacteria
Description: partial 16S ribosomal RNA
Rfam family: Bacterial small subunit ribosomal RNA
Source: RNAcentral
AGUGAACGCUGGCGGUAGGCCUAACACAUGCAAGUCGAACGGCAGCACAGUAAGAGCUUGCUCUUACGGGUGGCGAGUGGCGGACGGGUGAGGAAUACAUCGGAAUCUACUUUUUCGUGGGGGAUAACGUAGGGAAACUUACGCUAAUACCGCAUACGACCUACGGGUGAAAGCAGGGGAUCUUCGGACCUUGCGCGAUUGAAUGAGCCGAUGUCGGAUUAGCUAGUUGGCGGGGUAAAGGCCCACCAAGGCGACGAUCCGUAGCUGGUCUGAGAGGAUGAUCGGCCACACUGGAACUGAGACACGGUCCAGACUCCUACGGGGGGCAGCAGUGGGGAAUAUUGGACAAUGGGCGAAAGCCGAAGCCAGCCAUACCGCGUGGGUGAAGAAGGCCUUCGGGUUGUAAAGCCCUUUUGUUGGGAAAGAAAAGCAGCAGGUUAAUACCCCGCUGUUCUGACGGUACCCAAAGAAUAAGCACCGGCUAACUUCGU